GGGGGUGUGAUCUUUGGCAUUUAUUUGAAAAAUUUAGAGUAUAAGCAAAGUUCCAUUUCAGUAGUUAAGCUGAUUUACCCACAACCCAUCAGUCAAUGGAAUCCCACAGAUGUCAAACUGCAGACAUCAUGGACAGAGGAAACAAAAUGGAGGCGCCCAGGUAUUAAGAUCCGGCACACGGAAGAGUAAGUAAUAAAUACGAACGUGGCAAUGGUGCAAUAAUCAUAAGGGCUUGUUUUACUAUAAGAACAGUGAGGACAUGGAAUUCGCUGCUUGAAGAGGUGGUUUUAUCAGAGUUUGUAC
Molecule: non-coding RNA, 303 nt
Organism: Pelobates cultripes (western spadefoot toad)
Lineage: Eukaryota; Metazoa; Chordata; Amphibia; Anura; Pelobatidae
Source: the annotation of a GenBank genome assembly